GCCCUUAUAGCUCAGUGGUAGAGCGCAUCACUCGUAAUUUGGCUUACGUAAUUAUUAUGAUGAGGUCCAUCGUUCAAUCCGGUGUGAGGGCA
RNAcentral lists this transfer RNA (92 nucleotides) under Rhizoctonia solani. It matches the Rfam family "tRNA". From Rfam's summary of the family: Transfer RNA (tRNA) molecules are approximately 80 nucleotides in length. Their secondary structure includes four short double-helical elements and three loops (D, anti-codon, and T loops). Lineage: Eukaryota; Fungi; Basidiomycota; Agaricomycetes; Cantharellales; Ceratobasidiaceae. The record is from Rfam by way of RNAcentral.